GUGCAAGCGGGAGGGGGCAGGGAUCUCUCAGCUGGGAAGGGAGGCUUCACGCUGCCUGAGAGAUCCCUGCCCCCUCCUGCUUGCAUGCAAGCUCCAUUAGGCAGCAUGACGCCUCCCUUCACAGCUGAGAGAUCCCUGCCCCGCUCCUGCUUGCAC
This is a non-coding RNA of Podarcis lilfordi (Lilford's wall lizard), 156 nucleotides long. Lineage: Eukaryota; Metazoa; Chordata; Lepidosauria; Squamata; Lacertidae. The record is from the annotation of a GenBank genome assembly.